This is a non-coding RNA of Punica granatum (pomegranate), 1024 nucleotides long. The record is from RefSeq and is a predicted model, not a curated record. NCBI's taxonomy places the organism in Eukaryota, Viridiplantae, Streptophyta, Magnoliopsida, Myrtales, Lythraceae.
GGAUGCAAAUAUUUUGGUUCUUACACUUGUCGAUUUUAGAGCUCCAUAUAUAAUAAUUACUUGGAACUAUUCCUUAAAAAAAAACACUCUCUCUCGCCAGCGCCUCCCCAACCUAGCCAUCACUCCCGCUGGGGUGAGUAGCUCCAGUCACGCGCGUCGGCUGCCUACCCUCGCUCCCGAUGAGAGGAUCCCACCUUCCUCCUCACCGGUGACUAUCCUUCCUCCUCCACUGCCGUGUCGAUGGCUUUUGCCUAGGGACCAUUUUCGCUCCCCCCCCCCCAAAUACCCUUUUAUCUCUAGCGGUGUCCCCUCCUCUCCCUUAUGGUGGCGGCUUCUUCAUCUUUGAUUGGUCCUCCUCUCUCCGAGUUUUUCCUCCAGACCUUCACAAUUGGUCCUUUCCGCCAGAUCGCUACUCCUUCCAUAUUUGAUCUUGAUCUAAGCAGGGUUAGAUCCGACCCGGUUUUUAGAUCGGGUCUGGUCGCAGUGUAUUGAAUCCAUCCUAUUCGGGUGCCUUCCCCGGCUUACCGGAUUAGUCAGCUCUUGAUUCGUCACUGGCUGGAUUAGUUGGCUCCUUGGCACCCUCCCCAGCUUCGCUGUUAGUCGACGCCUGUUGCCUUGCCCGGCCUGGAUUAUUGGUCUGAUUUGGUGGCUGACUCUGUGAUGGGUCCCUAGUGCACGAAUACCGCUCAAGACCCCCCUGCGUUGCUCUGAUGUUAGGGUCUCCUCGAAACAUAGGCUUCAUAUGGCCGAGUUCUACAUGGAUAUAUGGCUUGAGGACCCUUACUUGGUUUAUCGGGGUCCAUGUGUGACACAUAAGAUUUUUAUCGGAAUUUUCGGAUAGCUGCUACUUUAUAUUUCACCUCAAAUCUCCCGUGUAGUAUGCCUGGGAGGAUCCGAUUAUUUCUGAUAUUGUAAUUUUCAUUUUCUUGAGCAUUUCACUUUGUGUACUCUUAGUAUAUGUUAUAAAUGAAUUCUCAAGGUUCAUGAGAAAAAAAAUAAAUAUAGUGAAGUUAGUUUUACAAUC